This 495-nucleotide ribosomal RNA is filed under the name uncultured bacterium. Its description in RNAcentral is "bacterial SSU rRNA". It matches the Rfam family "Bacterial small subunit ribosomal RNA", at positions 903 to 1397 of the family's 1533-position model. The record is from RNAcentral.
AAAGGAAUAGACGGGGGCCCGCACAAGCGGUGGAGCAUGUGGUUUAAUUCGAAGCAACGCGAAGAACCUUACCAGGUCUUGACAUCCCGCUGACCGGCCUAGAGAUAGGCUUUUCCCUUCGGGGACAGCGGUGACAGGUGGUGCAUGGUUGUCGUCAGCUCGUGUCGUGAGAUGUUGGGUUAAGUCCCGCAACGAGCGCAACCCUUGAUCUUAGUUGCCAGCAUUCAGUUGGGCACUCUAAGGUGACUGCCGGUGAUAAACCGGAGGAAGGUGGGGAUGACGUCAAAUCAUCAUGCCCCUUAUGACCUGGGCUACACACGUGCUACAAUGGACGGUACAGAGGGUCGCAACCCCGCGAGGGUGAGCAAAUCCCAUAAAACCGUUCUCAGUUCGGAUUGUAGGCUGCAACUCGCCUACAUGAAGCCGGAAUCGCUAGUAAUCGUGGAUCAGCAUGCCACGGUGAAUACGUUCCCGGGCCUUGUACACACCGCCCGU